AUUGAACGCUGGCGGCAUGCCUUACACAUGCAAGUCGAACGGCAGCACGGGGGGUAACCCCUGGUGGCGAGUGGCGAACGGGUGAGUAAUAUAUCGGAACGUGUCCUGUAGCGGGGGAUAACCUAUCGAAAGAUGGACUAAUACCGCAUACGACCUACGGGUGAAAGCGGAGGACCGCAAGGCUUCGCACUAUAGGAGCGGCCGAUAUCGGAUUAGCUAGUUGGCGGGGUAACGGCCCACCAAGGCGACGAUCCGUAGCUGGUCUGAGAGGACGAUCAGCCAAACGGGAACUGAAACAGGGUCCAGGCUCCUACGGGGGGAAGGAGUGGGGAAUUUUGGCAAAGGGGCGCAAGCCUGACCAAGCCAUGCCGGGGGGGUGAAGAAGCCCUUCGGGUUGUAAAGCUUUUUGGGGGGGGACGAAAGGGUUCGUGCUAAACCCACGGAAUACUGAGGGUACCCGAAAAAGAAGCACCGGCUAACUACGU
Molecule: ribosomal RNA, 485 nt
Filed under: uncultured bacterium
Lineage: Bacteria
Description: partial 16S ribosomal RNA
Rfam family: Bacterial small subunit ribosomal RNA
Source: RNAcentral